GAAUUCGACUUUUACAGAAAAUAAUUGUUUUUAUAUAUUUCCAGGCAUAGGCAGAUAGAUCAACAUUCCCAUUGGUCCGGGUUUCUUAACAUUUAUUAGCCAUAACUCCUGUUAGUUGGCCUACAGCUGAAGCACGUACCUGGUGUGUAAAGAAAAAACAAUCCACCCUAGCAGAAAUGAUAAACUACAAAUAUGCUUGUUCAUGGUGUUCACUCGGUGUAUAUUAUAGAAAAACAUACAUAAAAAAAUAUUUAUAACAUUUUAUUUCUUAACUGUUCGUCUGCGUCCCGAUCUUUUUCUGGUAUUCUUUUUCAGAGUGUUUACGUUUAUAUUGUAACUAAAAUAUAUGUAAUUAUAUGUACUUAUAUGCAGUGCACGUUAAACUG
Molecule: long non-coding RNA, 386 nt
Organism: Drosophila virilis
Lineage: Eukaryota; Metazoa; Arthropoda; Insecta; Diptera; Drosophilidae
Source: RefSeq, a predicted model, not a curated record